GACGAACGCUGGCGGCGUGCUUAACACAUGCAAGUCGAACGGAAAGGCCCUGCUUUUGUGGGGUGCUCGAGUGGCGAACGGGUGAGUAACACGUGAGUAACCUGCCCUUGACUUUGGGAUAACUUCAGGAAACUGGGGCUAAUACCGGAUAGGAGCUCCUGCUGCAUGGUGGGGGUUGGAAAGUUUCGGCGGUUGGGGAUGGACUCGCGGCUUAUCAGCUUGUUGGUGGGGUAGUGGCUUACCAAGGCUUUGACGGGUAGCCGGCCUGAGAGGGUGACCGGCCAGCUAGGGAGGGAGUGAGAGACAGCACACACUCGGGCGGGAGGGAGGGGUGAGGGAUAUAGAACGGUGGAGGGAACCCGGAGGAAGCGACGCUGGGGGAGGGAGGCAGUGGUGUUGUAAGCAAAUUUCGCUUAGGAGGGAAGGUAAUGACAGUAAAUGAAUAAGAAGCCCCGGCUAACUACGUG
This 467-nucleotide ribosomal RNA is filed under the name uncultured bacterium. RNAcentral's name for it is "partial 16S ribosomal RNA". It matches the Rfam family "Bacterial small subunit ribosomal RNA", at positions 28 to 507 of the family's 1533-position model. The record is from RNAcentral.